GGCGGGUCGUGGGUGACACACCCCAAGAUCAGGCUCCCUCCUCUCUGGUUCCGGGUGUACCACCUGAGAACUGCA
Myotis davidii is the source of this 75-nucleotide non-coding RNA. The record is from Rfam. NCBI's taxonomy places the organism in Eukaryota, Metazoa, Chordata, Mammalia, Chiroptera, Vespertilionidae.